UGUGACUUUAAGUUUAACGGCCGCGGUAUUUUGACCGUGCGAAGGUAGCGCAAUCACUUGUCUUUUAAAUGAAGACCCGUAUGAAUGGCACCACGAGGGCUUAGCUGUCUCCUUUUUCAAGUCAAUGAAAUUGAUCUCCCCGUGCAGAAGCGGGGAUAAUAACAUAAGACGAGAAGACCCUAUGGAGCUUCAGACCUAGUACAGAUCACGAAAAAUACUUUAAGACAAAAAAGAAAAGCCCAAUGACCCCUGCACAACUGUCUUUGGUUGGGGCGACCGCGGGGAAAAACAAAACCCCCACGAGGACUGAGAGUUUUACUCCUAAAACCAAGAGCCACAGCUCUAAGUAUCAGAAAUUCUGACCUAAAUGAUCCGGGCAACCGAUCAACGAACCGAGUUACCCUAGGGAUAACAGCGCAAUCCCCUUCCAGAGCCCAUAUCGACAAGGGGGUUUACGACCUCGAUGUUGGAUCAGGACAUCCUAAUGGUGCAGCCGCUAUUAAGGGUUCGUUUGUUCAACGAUUAAAGUCCUACGUGAUCU
This 541-nucleotide ribosomal RNA is filed under the name Allocyttus verrucosus. RNAcentral's name for it is "partial 16S ribosomal RNA". It matches the Rfam family "Bacterial large subunit ribosomal RNA", at positions 1906 to 2606 of the family's 2925-position model. Lineage: Eukaryota; Metazoa; Chordata; Actinopteri; Zeiformes; Oreosomatidae. The record is from RNAcentral.